ACAGCCUGAAUGAGAGGGAAGCAAGGAGAUGACGCCCUUAGCUCUGAAAAGACAUUUUCCCAAGCAGCUGGCAAGGCCCCCGCCUGCUCCGGGGGAUUUUCCAAUCUGCUCCAGAAAGGGCCAGCUCCGAGCAUGUUGGGAGCAUUCAGGGACAUGGCGAGGCCCACUUCGCGAGCCCUGGCCGUGAGCACAGCGCGUCUGCAGGUCCUUUCUCCUGCUUUUCCCUUUCCCCUCCUGCUUUUCCUGGCGACAGGGUGAUCAGAGACGGGGAGCGAAGAGCCUCCCAGAGCCCUUCUCCCCUUGGCAGCCUUCGGCCGCAUCCGAGACCUCGGCCCAGCAAACGCAGCCUCCCUGCGUGGCACAGAGCUCUACCGGAAAGACGCAGGUUUGGGAGAGAAGCAAGAUCUUCCGUCCCAAGCGUGGAACGACUGUGCUCAGAACUGGGAACCCAGGACACAGAAUGAAUGGCUGACCUGCCUCGUACGCUGUGGACAUUUGCUCUCGAGGCCCGGGAUGUCCGCUGCCCAGCAGCUGCAAGCCGGCCCGCCUGUGGUUCCCUAAAGAUCAGGACGGAUGGGGAAAAGCGCCCUUCUUAGGUGAAAGCAUCAGCUCGUUUCUACGUGUCAGCACUGGGAGAAGAUGUGGGGUCAGUGUCUUCACCAGGGAGCUGGUGCGAGGAUCAGCCCGUGAGAUGACAGACUCGGCGCCCUGCCAGAUGCUGUAAAGCGUGGAACUGUGUCAUCGAUGGUUAAGGAGAAAACAGGGUUUUGCAAAGGCACAACUAGAAGGAUGAAGGUGGCUGAAUAUUUGUCUUCUGAGUGAUACGGACUUUCCUUGAAGAAUGGCGUAUUUACGAGUGUCAGCCUGCCACCCGUUACUGCGAUUAGGUUCUUCAGCAACCGAGGAGGAAUGAGGAGGACUCAGACGGAUUUCGAAGAAUGGCAUGACUAAUGUACAAACAAGAGCGAAAGGGAGUGUUGGAAAAACUCAGGGACACUGAAGACUGAAGUGGGUUGAAAACAAAUCAGAACGUGAGUUCUCCCACUUGAGUGCGAGCAGAAUUUGUUUUUCAGAAGUAAUUUUUAAGGAUUCACUUGGAGAAGGAAGAGGGAUUUUCCUUUACGCUUUUGGAUCGGAUGGCUCUGUGUUGCGAACGGUUUUCUCGCGGCCUUCAAGAAUUUGUUUGGUACCCACUUGUUCAAAACCCAAGGGCAAACAGCCAAGUCCCCUUAAAGCUGUCCGCCCGGGACUACGGGAGUCAGUUUGAAACGUCUUCGUUUUAAGAAGGUGGCAGAAUUACAUAAUUAUUCACAGCUCAUAAGAAAUUAAAAUACCUCUUCCAAAUAUGAAGUCGCGAGAUAACACAAACCACAAGUCCUAGACUCUCGGAGGGCGUGUGCCUCGUUUGUGCUCCCACACACAAACCCACAGCCGACCGUCUGCGCUGAGAGCACGUGGCCCCACUGAGAGCACGUGGCCACGCUGACCUCGCUUCCCUCGUGUUCCUCCGCACACAGCAGGGCUCUUGCCCAGGGCCUCCCUUGGCGACGCCGAGGGACCGAAGAUGCCAAAUGCUGGAGAGGCGGGAGGUCACCACAAGGCACCUGGGACCACAGACGCACUCUCUUCCACUCAUGGCCAGGGUGCACGAGGAAUUUGACCCCUCCAGGGACUUCGUAUCAGUGGAAUCCUAAGAUGUCCUUUUGUGUCUGGCUUAUUUCAGUGAGUAUAGUGUCUUCAAGGUACAUGUGUCAGAAUCACCUUCCUUUUUAAGUUCAAGCUGAAUAACAUUCCAUCGUAGGAAUAGCCCAGCUUGUUUAUUCAUUCGUCCGUUGAUGGCCAUUUCGGCUGUUUCCGUCUCGUGGCUGUUCUGAGGCACGCGGCCGUGCACGUGGUGUCCAGUUCUUCUUCGAGUCCUGCUGUCGGUUCUUUCAGACGUUUCUGCAGCGGUUGCACCCUUUCGCAUUCCUGAGGUCCCACUUCUGCACGUGCUCACCAGCACUUGUUAUUUGAUGUAUUCUGGUAGUCCCAUUGCUGUGACCGUGAGACCGUCACACAGACGCAGUCUCUAAACUUCCCUCUGCGAGCACGAGAAGCAGCCCCUUGGUCAGGCAGGGCCGGGGGUGGGGCGGNNNNNNNNNNNNNNNNNNNNNNNNNNNNNNNNNNNNNNNNNNNNNNNNNNNNNNNNNNNNNNNNNNNNNNNNNNNNNNNNNNNNNNNNNNNNNNNNNNNNNNNNNNNNNNNNNNNNNNNNNNNNNNNNCCUGUGGCUGCGGGUCAGGUCGUGGGUGGGGAAGGGGUGUCAGGAGGGGGCUGGAGUGUCUCCUGGGGCCACACUUCCCUGGCCUUCAGCCUGAAGCUCAGGAGUCGGAUAUUUCUCCCAGGAGCUAAGAGAAGAUUUUACGUCGGGGACAAUCUGGCUAGACACGUAUGGUUCGGAAGUCAGGCUGCCCACAGCCGCGUGCAGGGUACGGGAGAAGAAGAGACUCUGGGAGGCCAGUGUGGACACGGCAGUGGUGGAUCCGUCUGCCAUGAGGCACUGAGCUGGACGAUGGCAUCUGUUAGCUGUGCCUCCUUGCCAGCCCCCAGGGGCCACACGUCCUUAUGCACAACAGGUGCUGGGGACGCAGUCCCCAUUUGGAAACUCACAGAUGAGGCGGAAAUAAGACUACCACGGGGAAGGGGAGAGGAGCUAGGCGCAUUCUGGGCAGAAAUCUUCAGUUUCUGGAAGCUGUGAAGGUGAUAACAGGAACAUCUGAAGACGCAGAAGCUGCUCAUCUUAGUAGCUUGGCCAACAAGAAGGACGGGGUUAAAUUCCCUCCCGAGAAAAGUGUGUUCACCGAGCUUCGCGUUUCCCUCCGUCCUUUCCCCCUUGCCUUCCUGCUAUGGACACGACAGCGUGACGCUGCAGAAAGGAUGAAGUCCAGAAAACAGAAGACUUCUGUUUGUUUUUCACUGUGGCGCUGAUGGCUUCCUCUGUGCUCAGAUUUGGGUCCGCCUCUGGGUAGUUGGCAAAGCGAGAUGUGCCAUUUGUCAUUAAAAAAAUAAAAACAUUCAAAGU
RNAcentral lists this long non-coding RNA (3058 nucleotides) under Sus scrofa (pig). Its description in RNAcentral is "lncRNA (ENSSSCG00005019465.1)". The record is from RNAcentral. Lineage: Eukaryota; Metazoa; Chordata; Mammalia; Artiodactyla; Suidae.